AUUUCAGGCAGCGUAACUCCAGCCAGGAGUAAUUGCAUUCGACACAGCUCCUGACCUCAAACCUUUGCUGAUGGGACACAAAGCUGAGCUGCCCCUGCUCUGUCUGGUUUGGGAUUCAAACCAUGGAGAGGGACAGGAGCUGAGGACAUCUGAGCAUUAUCACUGAGCUCUGCAGAGACCAAGAAGUUCUCCAGCCCCCUCCUGGAGAUCUGAACCCUUGUGCUGCAGACCGGGUUUCAUCCAAAUCCUGUCCGGCGGUAGCUUGGAGAUGAGAUCAUUAUGUUGGUCCUCUGUCAAGAUUCCUGAACUGAUCUACGUGAAGAACUACGUCACCUUCAGGACAGGAUUUGGGGUAUUUUGUCCCCCUGUGCAGAACUGCUUUUCGGCUGGAGCAGAGAACCAGCCUCCUUAACCCAUGAGAAGUCAAAUCAGUGGUGGAAGAAAGAGAAGAAAUGAGACCAAUUUGACUGGCCAAAUUCUGAUGUUUUUCAGGGAGCAGUGAAAUAAAUCUGCUGUACUUGUGAAUCAAGGCCACAGAUGAUUGCACAGCACUGCCUGCGCGAGUUCGGUUUGCAUCUGCUUCACUGGCUGGAUGAGCCCACGGCAGAGAAACCUUGAAAAAUUUGCAGCAACAGGAGGUCUUGCCUAAAAAAUGUGGCCUAUGUUGUUUAUUAUUUCUAUGAUAAUGGACAGAAGAGAGCGAUGGAGAGCUGCCUAUCAGCAGCGGCAGCACCCCCGGGAGCCCUCACUGCUCCGUGUCCUGUGAGUGGUCUUGGACACUCUUCACUGCUACUAACUAACAAGGACUAAUUUGAGCAAAACAAGUGAAGUGAAGAUCAAAAAUCAGCUGAAUACCAACCAAUCCAUACAGAAGGGCUCCUGGUGCUUUUAGCCUGUGUUGGCCUGGGUGGCGGUUACAGACCAGGCCAAACAAAUUAAUCAGUCUCAGAACAAUGUCCCUGAACCAAGAGGCUUUCCAUGUCCCUUCCAUCCCGCGGGACAGGCACAUUCACCCCCAGCUGUGUCCCCGUCCGCGUGGCUCUCGUGCUGGCUGUGGGUGUCACUCUGUACCUGCGCUGGGAGUGAUGCAGCCUGUGGUGCUGAUUCUGCAUGCAGCCCACAAACAAGGCUCUGUGUAAACUAUCUUAUUUAUUUCACUAUCCUUCCCCCAUUCACCAGGCAAAUUAUCACAUGUGUAUUCAGUUUCAAUAAGAUAAAAAAUUGCCUAAUAAAAUAUUUACUCAGCCUUUG
Molecule: long non-coding RNA, 1251 nt
Organism: Columba livia (rock pigeon)
Lineage: Eukaryota; Metazoa; Chordata; Aves; Columbiformes; Columbidae
Exons: 5
Source: RefSeq, a predicted model, not a curated record